This 497-nucleotide ribosomal RNA is filed under the name uncultured bacterium. RNAcentral's name for it is "partial 16S ribosomal RNA". It matches the Rfam family "Bacterial small subunit ribosomal RNA", at positions 28 to 507 of the family's 1533-position model. The record is from RNAcentral.
GAUGAACGCUGGCGGCGUGCCUAAUACAUGCAAGUCGAGCGAACGGACGAGAAGCUUGCUUCUCUGAUGUUAGCGGCGGACGGGUGAGUAACACGUAGAUAACCUACCUAUAAGACUGGGAUAACUUCGGGAAACCGUAGCUAAUACCGGAUAAUACUUUGAACCGCAUGGUUCAAAAGUGAAAGACGGUCUUGCUGUCACUUAUAGAUGGAUCCGCGCUGCAUUAGCUAGUUGGUAAGGUAACGGCUUACCAAGGCAACGAUGCAUAGCCGACCUGAGAGGGUGAUCGGCCACACUGGAACUGAGACACGGUCCAGACUCCUACGGGAGGCAGCAGUAGGGAAUCUUCCGCAAUGGGCGAAAGCCUGACGGAGCAACGCCGCGUGAGUGAUGAAGGUCUUCGGAUCGUAAAACUCUGUUAUUAGGGAAGAACAUAUGUGUAAGUAACUGUGCACAUCUUGACGGUACCUAAUCAGAAAGCCACGGCUAACUACGUG